GAACCUGGAUUCUCCGAUAUUCGACGAAAAUGAGAAAAUGUUCUACGGAAAAGUGUCGCAUUUCAUGUCCCCGGUGGAAAUUUCGCUCCAACCAAAAUAUCUGAGCACCGCCCGAAAAUCGAUAAUGGAACAGUUGAAUGCCACGUAUCAAAGUACACAAGUUGCUGAGUUUCAAGAAGAUCAG
Molecule: small RNA, 184 nt
Filed under: Caenorhabditis elegans
Lineage: Eukaryota; Metazoa; Nematoda; Chromadorea; Rhabditida; Rhabditidae
Description: Unclassified non-coding RNA Y39B6A.89
Source: RNAcentral